Molecule: ribosomal RNA, 720 nt
Filed under: Prevotella sp. G57
Lineage: Bacteria; Pseudomonadati; Bacteroidota; Bacteroidia; Bacteroidales; Prevotellaceae
Description: bacterial SSU rRNA
Rfam family: Bacterial small subunit ribosomal RNA
Source: RNAcentral
UCAGGAUGAACGCUAGCUACAGGCUUAACACAUGCAAGUCGAGGGGCAGCAUGAAGUUUGCUUGCAAACUUUGAUGGCGACCGGCGCACGGGUGAGUAACGCGUAUCCAACCUUCCCUAUACUAGAGGAUAGCCCGGCGAAAGUCGGAUUAAUACUCUAUGUUCUUCGUAGAAGACAUCUGAAAUGAAGCAAAGGUUUACCGGUAUAGGAUGGGGAUGCGUCUGAUUAGGUUGUUGGCGGGGUAACGGCCCACCAAGCCCACGAUCAGUAGGGGUUCUGAGAGGAAGGUCCCCCACAUUGGAACUGAGACACGGUCCAAACUCCUACGGGAGGCAGCAGUGAGGAAUAUUGGUCAAUGGACGAGAGUCUGAACCAGCCAAGUAGCGUGCAGGAUGACGGCCCUAUGGGUUGUAAACUGCUUUUAUACAGGGAUAAAGUGACGUACGUGUACGUUUUUGUAGGUACUGUAUGAAUAAGGACCGGCUAAUUCCGUGCCAGCAGCCGCGGUAAUACGGAAGGUCCGGGCGUUAUCCGGAUUUAUUGGGUUUAAAGGGAGCGCAGGCUGAUGAUUAAGCGUGACGUGAAAUGUAGCCGCUCAACGGCUGAACUGCGUCGCGAACUGGUUAUCUUGAGUGAGUUCGAUGUUGGCGGAAUUCGUGGUGUAGCGGUGAAAUGCUUAGAUAUCACGAAGAACUCUCGAUUGCGAAGGCAGCCAACAAG